This 484-nucleotide ribosomal RNA is filed under the name uncultured bacterium. Its description in RNAcentral is "partial 16S ribosomal RNA". It matches the Rfam family "Bacterial small subunit ribosomal RNA", at positions 30 to 507 of the family's 1533-position model. The record is from RNAcentral.
AUUGAACGCUGGCGGCAGGCCUAACACAUGCAAGUCGAGCGGAUGAAGGGAGCUUGCUCCUGGCUUCAGCGGCGGACGGGUGAGUAAUGCCUAGGAAUCUGCCUGGUCGUGGGGGAUAACGUCCGGAAACGGGCGCUAAUACCGCAUACGUCCUGAGGGAGAAAGUGGGGGAUCUUCGGACCUCACGCUAUCAGAUGAGCCUAGGUCGGAUUAGCUAGUUGGUGGGGUAAAGGCCUACCAAGGCGACGAUCCGUAACUGGUCUGAGAGGAUGAUCAGUCACACUGGAACUGAGACACGGUCCAGACUCCUACGGGAGGCAGCAGUGGGGAAUAUUGGACAAUGGGCGAAAGCCUGAUCCAGCCAUGCCGCGUGAGUGAAGAAGGUCUUCGGAUUGUAAAGCACUUUAAGUAGGGAGGAAGGACAGUAAGUUAAUACCUUGCUGUUUUGACGGUACCAACAGAAUAAGCACCGGCUAACUUCGUG